Non-coding RNA from Malus domestica (apple), 676 nucleotides. The record is from RefSeq and is a predicted model, not a curated record. Lineage: Eukaryota; Viridiplantae; Streptophyta; Magnoliopsida; Rosales; Rosaceae.
AAGUGAACUCCAAAAGUGUGCAUGCGUAUGCAGGUUGUUUUCAGCAGGGAUGUUUGUAUGCACUAAUCAAUUCCUAUACUCACUUAGCAUUCGGCAUUCCUUGCGGUUUCUGCAUAACUUGCGGCUUUCGAACCAAACUGAGGGAGCAGUACAUGUUGGAGAAAAAACCUUGCAACGAUUGCUGCGUUCAUUUCUUCUGCCACUCCUGUGCCUUGUGCCAAGAAUACCGUGAGCUCGAGAACCGUGGUUUCAAUGUUACCAUUGGCUGGGAACAAAAUGCGUCAAAGAAUCCUGGAGUGGUGACAGCACCAGCUGUGCAGGGUGGCAUGAAUCGUCAGACUGAUUACAAAUAAGUAAUGGUGUUGGCUUGAUGCUUCAUACCAUAUAUGGAAUAAAAGAAUUCGCUUUCGAUUUUUGUUUGCCGUCUCUUGAAUAAACUUCUUUUGGCUUUGGAGAGUCGUCUUAGUCUGUUGAGUUUGGGUGUGAAUAAUUUAAAAGACUGUGUUCAUUGCUAGUUUGUGGGCUUGUCUUGCCAUGGUAUUCAAUCGAGUUGACCUUUUAUGUUUUGUUGAAGUCUCUGUAGAUUGUGGAUUCUCUUUUAUCAAAUAUUAUUUUUAAUGUUUGUAUCAGUUCUUAAUAUUAUAAUAAAAUCACUAUUAUUUCGGUUUUUUUUUUU